ACAAUCUUUUUAAAAAAAUUGGUGUCUGAUGAUUAUUCAUCUUUUAUAUACUAGGUUAUGUGAAAUAUCCGUCACUGUCAAUCAACGAUAUUGGUUUGUCAACUUGUUCUUGAAAGUUAUUUCGAAAAGUGUUAGAUAAUGCGUAAAAAAGAUAUAAUAGGUAUAAUGAACAAUCGCAGCUGAUGAUUUUAAAUGCAUUGGAUUUUUUUCAACUGGAAAAGGAACAAGUCCGAAAGGGAAUUGCACUUCAAAUUGAGAAUGUGAUAGAGCGAGCCGCAGAUGCAACAAAAUUGAGCACAACAACGAUCGCAAAUAUAAAAUAGAAUGGGAUAAAAUCAGAUCAGGAUUACGCAGCCCGUAUAUCUUCCAAGCAAAAGACAGCAAAAACCAAAAUUACAACAUAUUUGAAACAUAGAAUUCGGGACACAAUUUAUUCUAUGUACGGCAGAAAAGAAUAUGUAAUAUUGGCAACAAUAAGAGAAAAGUUCAGGGAAGAAAUUGAAUAUUUUGAGUUUUCCAUUGACUCCUUAAGAAGAUGGAUCAAUAGUAUAGGCUUCAAGUGGAAAAAAUCAAAUAACAGAAAAUAUUUGAUGGACUUGCCAAAUAUUGUUCAUAAAAGAAUCAUUUUUUUAAGGGAGUAUAUCAAAAAUAGAAAUGUAGGUCCGGAAGGUUUUACUCCAGUUUUCAUUGACGAGACGUGGAUUUUUAGCAAGGGAUCAUUUCGUAGUAGCUGGCAAGAUGACACCAAGCACACGGAUUCAAGGAAAAACAGUGAAGGUCAUCGUUAUAUCGUGGUCCACGCCGGAACCAAAGAUGGCUUCAUCAAGGGUGCAAAUUUAAUAUUCAAGAGUGGAUUAAAGACGGGAGAUUAUCAUGACAAUAUGAACAGGAAAAACUUCGAAAACUGUUGUAGAUUUGGUUUUUGCGGUCUUUUACUUGGAAAAUAUAUGAGCAGCGUAAUCCUGAUCUGAUUUUAUCCCAUACUUCUUUAUAUUUGCGAUCGUUCUUGUGCUCAAUUUUGUUGCAUCUGCGGCACGCUCUAUCACAUUCUCAAUUUGAAGUGCAAUUCCGUUUCGGACUUGUUGUUUAUGUCCCAUUAUUUAUGAUUAAUUAUAAUAAUAUUUGUUAAUUGUUAAGUUUGUUAAUACAAUAAAUACUACAAGAUUUUUUAACAUUUUUUGGGAAUGAAAGUAUAUACACAAAUAUAAAAAUAUAAUAAUAUGCUGCUAAAAUAAAUCAUUUGUUAAUUUCUGAAAGUAUAAAAAUACCUAGCAGACUAUUAAUUUCUGAAGGCGAUGGUAAAGUUUCUAACCUAAUAUUGAUUGGCAAAAAUAUCUACGCCAUACGUUUUUUCUCACCUGGAUGACGUAACUACAAAUGGGUAAAGUACAAUGCAACGAUAUAUUAGAAUGGUCACCCGUCAAAACACCAGCAUUCCAAACAAUGUCAUCCACCUUCUAUUUACAUUGUUUGAGAAGUAAAAUGCUGACGGGUGACCAUUCUAAUAUAUCGUUGCACUGGACUUUAUAAUUUCGACUUUAUUAACAGUUGGCGAAAAAGAUAAACUAGUUAACAAGGAACAUUUAGUAAACCAAUCAGGUUUAAUUUUUUAUUGUGCAGCAAGUGAAAUGUAUGAUAUAACAGCUCAUUUACAAAUAGGACACAAAAGAGAAAAGGCAAUGGAAAAUGAAAUAAAAAAGAAAUACUGCAAUGUUACUAGAGAGGUAAUUCAUAUAUAUUUAGACUUGUGUCAAUCGUGUGCUCUGAAGAAAAAGGUAAAAAGUAAAGGAUUAGUUGUAAAACCUAUGAUUAUGAGUGAAAUGAAUUCACGUUGCCAGGUAAUGUUAAUUAACAUUUGUCAUUAUUAUUUCCAUGGUUAUGUGUUCUGUUACGUUAUAUUGUAUUUACCUUGAUAACAUUUUGAUUUGCUGUAACUUUAUUAUCACAGUACCACUAACUUAAUGUUUUUCUUUAGGUUGACCUUAUCGAUAUGCAAAGUGAGCCUGAUGGAGAAUAUACAUUUAUUCUCAAUUAUCAAGAUCACUAAACUAAAUUUGUAAUACUACGACCACUUAAAACAAACACAGCAAAUGAAGUGGCAGAUGUUAUUCUCGAUAUAUUCUGUUUGUUUGGAGCCCCAAAUAUUUUGCAUAGUGACAAUGAAAGAGAAUUCAGCAACCAGGUAAAUUUGAUUGCAUUGUACAAAAGCUUUUAUUACUUGAGUAAACUUUAGGUCAUUGAACAAUUAGCAGCCAGUUGGUCAGCUAUAAAAAUCGUUCACGGUAAACCACGACAUUCUCAGAGUCAGGGCUCCGUUGAAAGAGCAAAUCGAGAUGUUCGCGAUAGCCUUGUAGCCUGGAUGUCAGACACGAACUUAAAAAUAUACCUGGACUGCUAAUGCACAUGGCCACGAUACCCAAAAAUGACCACUGCAUGGUGGCCGCCAUUUUUAUAGUGGUUGUGUCCUUUUGAUGUUGGUCACUCUGAAAAUUUUUAAUGUUGCCAACAAAAAAUAUAUUAAAUAACAGUAAUGAAGUUGACAUUUGACGUGUGAGUAUAGCGGAUUGCCUAGUUUUUGGCGAUUUGUAAACGACGCUUGGGUAUAUCGUCUGGAACAGGCGAUGUAUCUUUCUCCUUAUCUAAUACGUGAAUAAUGUAUCACCAUCUUUAUUUAAAGGUAUUUGGUUCAGUUUCUCAAAACCGAAUUAUUGUGAAUUGUCUGUCUGUGUUGUUUAUAAUAGAAUGAUAUAUUGAGGUGUUGACAGAAUAAUAUAUUUGUAAUUUUUACUAUAUAAACCCUUUAUAAUUACAAACCCUCAUAAAAUCAUCUAUAUUUUCAUUCUUAUAUAUGGUUGUACCUAUUAAUGUGGAAACACUGUACAUGGAAGGAAAGCAAAACUCGUCAUAGUAAAAAUAGAAAGAAAAUAAGUGUUUUUAACUGAAUUUGUUAAGUAAAUACAACCAAACAUUUAAAUGAAUAAUAUGAUUUUCAUGGUAUUAGGAUUUAUAAGAUUCAAGAUUAUCAGAGUGAUAAAACAAAUAUUUUAAAGUGCAUGCAUCUAUUCCAAGUUGAUUGAAACUUUGUCUCAUUUUAGAUGAGGACUACUUUCUUUCAUAAAUUUUAACGAAAUUCUUAAAGGAAAACAAGAAAAAUCACAGAUCUAACGCAAUUAUCUUAAAUUCUUACCUAUAUGUAACUUUCUAUUUUGUAUUUUUGUAAACAUAACCUCUCAAAAACUUUAACUGUUUUGUAUCCUUACAAUUGGCACAACUAAAAUUUGUCAGAGUGACCAACAUCGAAAAGACACAAUCACGGAAAAUAGCUGCCCCCUAGUAGUGGUCAUUUACUUUUCAUUGAAUUGGCAGUCCAGGUAUAUUUAUUAAGUUCGUGAUGUCAGAUAAUAACUGUCAAAAUUGGGCAAAAGACCUUCGAAUUAUUCAGACUACAAAAAACCGCAGUUUCCAUACAGGUAUAAAGCGAACACCUUAUGAAGCCAUGUUUGGAACUCCACAGAGAAAUGGACUUUUGGAUUCAUGCUUGGACACACACUGUGUAGCAAAUGAAAUUAAGACCGAAGAACAACUUGAAGAGCAUCUGAAAUUAAUAAAAGAGUCUUUAGAAAACGAACAAGAAAACGACACCGAAUUUAGUAUCGAAAAGGAACGAGAAAACGAAAUGCAAUUUUAUAUGGAAACCGAAUUAGAUAUAGAAGUCGAAAAUAAUACGAACGAGGGAAGGUUGGUAAAUGGAAAAGUCGAUAUGAUGAAUUGUUUUGUUUGUGAUAAUAUGUACGUCCCACGCAAUAAGUGCAUUGAAUGUAAUGCAUAGUCAUUGCAUAUGGCCUGUGCCAUUGAUUGGGAUUUACCAUUAUGCAAACUUUGUGGUAAUAAAAAGGCAACUGAGUUGCAAACGGAGGCUUGAACAACAAGUUGAUAAAAUGCUUAACCAAUCGCAAAGCAAAUUUCCACCUGUUAAUGUAGGUGACAAUGUUUUGAUAAACGUACCAGAGGUAGAUCGCGGGCGUUUAGCUCCUCGAAACGUAUUAUCAGUCAUUAUGGAAAAAACCGAUCAAGGAUUGUACGUUCUGGGUACCAAAAAUGGAAAAUUGACACGAUUAUACAGCAGAAAUGAGUUUCAAUUAUCUCCUUCAGUAUUUUUAUCUUUAUCUGAGGUCGUUGCAGAUUCUUCUGUCAAUGUGCGCCAGGAAGCCAUGUUGUCUUCGGGGUCUAAACAAGGUUUUGUUAAAUGUAACUGUUUGAAAGGUUGUCAAACUAAAGCAUGUGCAUGUGUAAAAUGUAAUUCCAAAUGCCACAAGAGUAAUUCUUGUAAGAACAAAUAGUGUUUUUCAAAUAAUUUUUAUUUUCCUAUUUCUACAUUUCGUUUAGUGUUUUGUUUUCAAUAUAAUAUACUGUAACUCUGUGAUAGGUGUGUACCUUUUAAUAAACGUUUUAUAUUG
This is a long non-coding RNA of Anthonomus grandis grandis, 4457 nucleotides long. RefSeq lists it as uncharacterized. The transcript has 2 exons. Lineage: Eukaryota; Metazoa; Arthropoda; Insecta; Coleoptera; Curculionidae. The record is from RefSeq and is a predicted model, not a curated record.